This 305-nucleotide ribosomal RNA is filed under the name uncultured bacterium. Its description in RNAcentral is "bacterial SSU rRNA". It matches the Rfam family "Bacterial small subunit ribosomal RNA", at positions 337 to 640 of the family's 1533-position model. The record is from RNAcentral.
GCCUACGGGACGCAGCAGUGAGGAAUAUUGGUCAAUGGGCGGGAGCCUGAACCAGCCAAGCCGCGUGAGGGAAGAAGGUACAGCGUAUCGUAAACCUCUUUUGUCAGGGAACAAAGGCGGGGACUAGUCCCCGGAUGAGGGUAUCUGAAGAAAAAGCAUCGGCUAACUCCGUGCCAGCAGCCGCGGUAAUACGGAGGAUGCGAGCGUUAUCCGGAUUUAUUGGGUUUAAAGGGUGCGCAGGCGGGAGAUCAAGUCAGCGGUAAAAUGUCGGGGCUCAACCCCGGCCGGCCGGUGAAACUGGGUUU